Long non-coding RNA from Fundulus heteroclitus (mummichog), 1297 nucleotides. RefSeq lists it as uncharacterized. Lineage: Eukaryota; Metazoa; Chordata; Actinopteri; Cyprinodontiformes; Fundulidae. The record is from RefSeq and is a predicted model, not a curated record. The transcript has 2 exons.
CCGUGGCAGGCCUGGUGAGGACAUCUUCCCAAGUCUGAGGCCACUGGAGCUCUCCAUGCCUACCGUGGUAGAAGAUGGGAGACUUCACGCUGGUCAUUGGUGUUGUUGGACUGAAGGUUAUUCGAGUGGAGGACCAUACAUCAUCUGCCGUGGUAAUGAGGGCGUGACCUUCCAUGUUUCAUUUCAAAAUCGAUACCCUCACUUGCACACCAACUUCAUGCUCUGCCCAUUAGACAAAAAGGUGAGUCAAAGAAAGGACGGGGAUGGGAACUGCUCCUCUGCCUGCUGGCUAGCUCUGGCGUCUGCAACUCCAAUCCUACUGUGCCGCAUGUCCUGCAACUUUUAGAAGCGGUCCCUGCUCCAGCACACCUGGAUGAAAUGAACGGUUAAUGACCAGGCCCCAGUAGAACUUGCUGACAUGCCAGGGAGCUAAUUCAGCCUUUUGAUGCCAUUGUGCCGGAGCAGGAACGCAGCUAAACAUUGCAGGACAGCAGCACUCCAGGGCUGGUGAUGCAAAGGCCUCAACUAGAUUAUAAAAAAAAAAAAAAAGGAUCUGGGUUUUAGGUCACCUGGUCAGCAGCUAGUAAACAUGCUAAUAUGUCACUUUUAUAAAUUACCACACCAGACGAUGAGACACCCAGUGGGAGCCAAUCAGUUUCCAUUUUCAAGCCAUGCACAUUGUGCCUUACUGAUUGGUCUAUUCGAGGAAACAAUUUGCUUUCACUUCAUUUAAAGAUAAUCCGACACGCAUAGCGAGAGCUCUGCACAGCACAAGCUGUUGAAACGCACAUGAGCGUAAACAGGAACUAGAGUGCACGCUGGAACAGUAAUGUGGCACGGCUGUGGGGCGUUAGUUCACCCAAAACUAGCUGACAGAUGUGGGUGGGGAAAAUAAAAAAAAAGAGUAAUUAUGAGACUUUACAAUCAGAAUAACAGCGAGGGGGAAAAAAAUAUGAGCUAAAGUUUGCAUCAGAUUUUCAAUAUGCUUGGUAUUUGUGUCAGGUAAACAAGUGAACUGGAUAUUCUGACUAAACUGACAAGUUUCACCUCUAUGCACCACCGUAACCAGUCGGGUAGCUUUCCCUGUAGUUAAAUAUAUUAAUAAAAAGUAUAAAUUUUAACAACAACUGGAUAAUAAAGCUGUCAAACUAAUGCAAAGCACCCUCCACAAUUACUAGGACCCCUGGUAAAAAUGUUUAAAAAGGCCUUUAGAACACUUAUAUCUUGCAGUAGCAAGAUGCCACAUCAAAUAGUUUUGGGAAUUUAAUUUAAGUGCGUUUAUUUCAGUAAUAAAAAA